GGGCCUGCAGGGCACUCCGUGCCCGCCGGUGCCCGCCGGUUCCCGCUCGGCCUCGGCCAGCGCGCUCCCACCGGGCGGUACUCACAAGCAGCAGGACGACUUUGAACAUGCCCAUCGCGGACACCGGACUUCGAGAUUAAACUGCUUCCCACUCCUAGCUUGCUGAGAAUUCUUAGGAAUGUCAGUUGGAACUUUUCAGGGGAUCUCUUUGCAUCUGUGGAGAUUUAUUUAUGUAAAUGAGUUUUCACGCACGCCAGAGGAGAGAAUCAGAUCCCAUUACAGAGGGUUGGCAGCCACCCUGUGAUUUCUGGGAAUUGAACUCAGGACCCCUGGAAGAGCAGCCAGUGCUCUUAACUGCUGAACCAUCUCUCCAGCCCCUUGCUUGAAUUCUCAGGCUACACUUGGCAUUGUUUUGUUUUGUUUUGUUUUGUUCUAAACAUAUUGCUGAAUUUGACUUGGUAAUUUUUUUUUUUUUUUUUUUUUUUUUUUUUUAAGAUUUACUCAUAAUGUAUUCAGGGUUGACCCUGCAUAUACACCUACAGGCCAGGUUGUGAGCCGCCAUGUUUUUGCUGGGGUUUGAACUCAGGACCUUUGGAAGGGCAGCCAGUGCUCUUAACCUCUGAGCCAUCUCUCCAGCCCAAUAUUUUCUUCUUUAUCUAAAUGAUUUUUUUUUUUAUGUGCAUCGGUGUUUUGCCUACAUGUAUGCCCGUUUAAGGGUGUUGGGUCCCGUGGAGUUACAGAGAGUUGUGAGCUGCCACAUGGGUUCUGGGAAUUGAACCGGGGUUCUCGGGAAAAACACCCAGUGAUCCCAACCAUUGAGACAUCUCCAGCCCCUGAAAAUAUCUUCUUAAGCCUAUUUUUAUGUCUGGAUUGAUAAGGAAUAUUAGCCCAUCAGUUCUUUUUUCUUUUACUGACUUUUUAGAGGUUAAAUGUCAUUAUUAUCCUGGCUUUAGGAAGUAGACUCAUGUUUCUGGAGAAAUUGUAUAAGAAUGGUUAAUAUUUCUUAAAUGAUUGGCCCUAUUCAGCAUAGCAUCAUGUGGAUUUAGAGGUGAUUUUCCUUAUGUUUUGAGGAUGGGCCAGUGUGGAAGCUUUUGAUAAUAAAUUCAAAUCUUUU
Molecule: long non-coding RNA, 1114 nt
Organism: Meriones unguiculatus (Mongolian gerbil)
Lineage: Eukaryota; Metazoa; Chordata; Mammalia; Rodentia; Muridae
Exons: 3
Source: RefSeq, a predicted model, not a curated record